This 1139-nucleotide long non-coding RNA is filed under the name Monodelphis domestica (gray short-tailed opossum). RNAcentral's name for it is "lncRNA (ENSMODG00000043903.1)". Lineage: Eukaryota; Metazoa; Chordata; Mammalia; Didelphimorphia; Didelphidae. The record is from RNAcentral.
CCUUUCCUUUCAAAACAAAACAAAACAAACAAACAAAAACCAACUAAACAAUGGUCCAUUUGCUGGGACCAUAGAUAGCAUUUCUCCAUACCAGAAUCAAAUAAUUUUACCUUUUGAGUUGCUUAUAAUUAGUCUUUCAUUAUUUUUUUAUGUUUCUUAUAGAUCAAAUUUUCUGCUAAGUUCUGGGGUUUUCCCCAAGAAUCUUUGAAACUUCUUCAGUGUGUUAACUGUCAAAUUUGUUUUUUAUAUUUAUACUCAUCUUUACUGGAUAUGUUAUUCUUGAUUUUAAGUCCAGUAACUUUGCUCUACAAAAUGCCUUGUUUCGUGUCCUAUGGUCUUUUAUUUUUGUGUCUGUUAAGUCUUAUGUUAUUCUGACUUACUUGACAGUGGUUUUUUUUUUCUUGUUGCUCAUAGUAUUUUCUUCUUAACCUUGAACCUAAGGAACUUAGUGGUGAUAUUCCUGUUCUAUUCCCAUUUUACCCCAUGAUUCUAGAAUUUCUGAACAGUUUACUUUGAUGAUUUCUUGGAGUAUGAUGGCUAAACUCUUCUUUUGGUCAAAAUUUUCUGGGAGACCAACUAUUCUCACAUUGCUUCUCUGUGAUCUAUUUUCAGAACCAACCAAUACACAGUGCUGAAUCAGAGACAGAAGAUGGAAGUUUUUUGAAGGAGUAUGUUGUGAUGACUGAGGGUCAAAAUGAUGAACAAGAUCAGUCUAGGAAAGAACUGAUUCAGCUCUAAAAACUUGGAAGUGUAAUAACAGAGGGUCAGAGAGCUGCUCUUUUCUCCCAUAUUUUCUUUGUGAGGAAUUUGGCAACAACUUAAGGUAUGAUGACUAAUUAUCUGGGAACUAAUAGUCAAAAAAGAAAAAGCCAGAAAACUGAGGGAGGAUUCUAGUUGCUGCUAAGCGAUAAAGGGAGUUGAAAAGAAAUGAUGAUGGAAGGUUGACUUUUAAAUAUACCAAGGAAACAUAUUUAUUGAGGUCUUCCUGAUUUCCUUUCACUUUUCAGUAAAAAAAAAAAAAGUUAGUCUAAAAAUCAACAUUUCAUCUUUCCACUUUGCUAAACUAAGAAAUCUCCUUCUUUCUCCAACUAUUCACUAUUACUGACAAAUAUUUACUAGUAAUAAUCCAACAUUGCAAC